AACGAACGCUGGCGGCAUGCCUAACACAUGCAAGUCGAACGAGACCUUCGGGUCUAGUGGCGCACGGGUGCGUAACGCGUGGGAACAUGCCCUUAGGUUCGGCAUAACUCUCCGAAAGGGGUGCUAAUACCGGAUAAUGUCUUCGGGCCAAAGAUUUAUCGCCGUUGGAUGGGCCCGCGUUGGAUUAGCUCGUUGGUAGGGUAAAAGCCUACCAAGGCGACGAUCCAUAGCUGGUCUGAGAGGAUGAUCAGCCACACUGGGACUGAGACACGGCCCAGACUCCUACGGGAGGCAGCAGUGGGGAAUAGUGGACAAUGGGCGGAAGCCUGAUCCAGCAAUGCCGCGUGAGUGAUGAAGGCCGUAGGGUUGUAAAGCUCUUUUACCCGGGAUGAUAAUGACAGUACCGGGAGAAUAAGCUCCGGCUAACUCCGUG
This 433-nucleotide ribosomal RNA is filed under the name uncultured bacterium. Its description in RNAcentral is "partial 16S ribosomal RNA". It matches the Rfam family "Bacterial small subunit ribosomal RNA", at positions 29 to 507 of the family's 1533-position model. The record is from RNAcentral.